Molecule: ribosomal RNA, 759 nt
Filed under: uncultured Enterobacteriaceae bacterium
Lineage: Bacteria; Pseudomonadati; Pseudomonadota; Gammaproteobacteria; Enterobacterales; Enterobacteriaceae
Description: bacterial SSU rRNA
Rfam family: Bacterial small subunit ribosomal RNA
Source: RNAcentral
AUUGAACGCUGGCGGCAGGCCUAACACAUGCAAGUCGAACGGUAACAGAAAGCAGCUUGCUGCUUUGCUGACGAGUGGCGGACGGGUGAGUAAUGUCUGGGAAACUGCCCGAUGGAGGGGGAUAACUACUGGAAACGGUAGCUAAUACCGCAUAACGUCGCAAGACCAAAGAGGGGGACCUUCGGGCCUCUUGCCAUCGGAUGUGCCCAGAUGGGAUUAGCUAGUAGGUGGGGUAAAGGCUCACCUAGGCGACGAUCCCUAGCUGGUCUGAGAGGAUGACCAGCCACACUGGAACUGAGACACGGUCCAGACUCCUACGGGAGGCAGCAGUGGGGAAUAUUGCACAAUGGGCGCAAGCCUGAUGCAGCCAUGCCGCGUGUAUGAAGAAGGCCUUCGGGUUGUAAAGUACUUUCAGCGGGGAGGAAGGGAGUAAAGUUAAUACCUUUGCUCAUUGACGUUACCCGCAGAAGAAGCACCGGCUAACUCCGUGCCAGCAGCCGCGGUAAUACGGAGGGUGCAAGCGUUAAUCGGAAUUACUGGGCGUAAAGCGCACGCAGGCGGUUUGUUAAGUCAGAUGUGAAAUCCCCGGGCUCAACCUGGGAACUGCAUCUGAUACUGGCAAGCUUGAGUCUCGUAGAGGGGGGUAGAAUUCCAGGUGUAGCGGUGAAAUGCGUAGAGAUCUGGAGGAAUACCGGUGGCGAAGGCGGCCCCCUGGACGAAGACUGACGCUCAGGUGCGAAAGCGUGGGGAGCAAACAGG